Molecule: ribosomal RNA, 469 nt
Filed under: uncultured beta proteobacterium
Lineage: Bacteria; Pseudomonadati; Pseudomonadota; Betaproteobacteria
Description: bacterial SSU rRNA
Rfam family: Bacterial small subunit ribosomal RNA
Source: RNAcentral
UGGAGGAAAASUAGGGGAUCGCAAGACCUUGCGCUUUUGGAGCGGCCGAUGUCUGAUUAGCUAGUUGGUGAGGUAAAGGCUUACCAAGGCGUCGAUCAGUAGCUGGUCUGAGAGGACGACCAGCCACACUGGGACUGAGACACGGCCCAGACUCCUACGGGAGGCAGCAGUGGGGAAUUUUGGACAAUGGGGGAAACCCUGAUCCAGCCAUGCCGCGUGAGUGAAGAAGGCCUUCGGGUUGUAAAGCUCUUUCAGCCGGAACGAAACGGUCACGGCUAAUACCYGUGAYCACUGACGGUACCGGAAGAAGAAGCACCGGCUAACUACGUGCCAGCAGCCGCGGUAAUACGUAGGGUGCGAGCGUUAAUCGGAAUUACUGGGCGUAAAGCGUGCGCAGGCGGUUUUGUAAGUCAGAUGUGAAAUCCCCGGGCUCAACCUGGGAACUGCGUUUGAAACUACCAAAGCUAGA